Molecule: ribosomal RNA, 493 nt
Filed under: uncultured bacterium
Lineage: Bacteria
Description: bacterial SSU rRNA
Rfam family: Bacterial small subunit ribosomal RNA
Source: RNAcentral
GAUGAACGCUAGCUACAGGCUUAACACAUGCAAGUCGCGGGGCAGCAUGAAUUUAGCUUGCUAAAUUUGAUGGCGACCGGCGCACGGGUGAGUAACGCGUAUCCAACCUUCCCCUGUCCACGGGAUAGCCCGUCGAAAGGCGGAUUAAUACCGUAUGAGGUCACACGAUGGCAUCAGACUGUGACGAAAGGUUUGGCGGACAGGGAUGGGGAUGCGUCCGAUUAGGUAGUCGGCGGGGUAACGGCCCACCGAGCCGACGAUCGGUAGGGGUUCUGAGAGGAAGGUCCCCCACAUUGGAACUGAGACACGGUCCAAACUCCUACGGGAGGCAGCAGUGAGGAAUAUUGGUCAAUGGACGUAAGUCUGAACCAGCCAAGUAGCGUGCAGGAUGACGGCCCUAUGGGUUGUAAAACCCUCUUUUAGUUUGGGAAUAAAGUGCGGGACGUGUCCCGCAUUGCAUGUACCAUUUGAAUAAGGACCGGCUAAUUCCGUG